GUGAGGAAUUAUGCGCAAUGGGGGAAACCCUGACGCUGCGACGCCGCGUGGGCGAUGAAGGUCUUCGGAUCGUAAAGCCCUGUCGAGAGGGAAGAACCGCUCGGGUGUCAAUACCACCCGGGCCUGACGGUACCUCUGGAGGAAGCCCCGGCUAACUCCGUGCCAGCAGCCGCGGUAAUACGGAGGGGGCGAGCGUUGUUCGGAAUUACUGGGCGUAAAGCGCGCGUAGGCGGUCUUGUCAGUCGAAUGUGAAAGCCCUCGGCUCAACCGAGGAACUGCGUUCGAUACUGCAAGGCUUGAGUCCGGUAGGGGAUGGCAGAAUUCCCGGUGUAGCGGUGGAAUGCGUAGAUAUCGGGAGGAAUACCGAUGGCGAAGGCGGCCAUCUGGGCCGGAACUGACGCUGAGGCGCGAAAGCUAGGGGAGCAAACAGGAUUAGAUACCCCAGUAGUCC
RNAcentral lists this ribosomal RNA (451 nucleotides) under uncultured bacterium. RNAcentral's name for it is "bacterial SSU rRNA". It matches the Rfam family "Bacterial small subunit ribosomal RNA", at positions 354 to 796 of the family's 1533-position model. The record is from RNAcentral.